This 440-nucleotide ribosomal RNA is filed under the name uncultured bacterium. Its description in RNAcentral is "partial 16S ribosomal RNA". It matches the Rfam family "Bacterial small subunit ribosomal RNA", at positions 338 to 795 of the family's 1533-position model. The record is from RNAcentral.
CCUACGGGAGGCAGCAGUAGGGAAUAUUGCUCAAUGGGGGAAACCCUGAAGCAGCAACGCCGCGUGGAGGAUGAAGGUUUUCGGAUUGUAAACUCCUUUUGUUAGAGAAGAUAAUGACGGUAGCUAACGAAUAAGCACCGGCUAACUACGUGCCAGCAGCCGCGGUAAUACGGAGGGUGCAAGCGUUACUCGGAUCCACUGGGCGGAAAGAGCGCGUAGGCGGGAUAGCAAGUCAGAUGUGAAAUCCUAUGGCUUAACCAUAGAACUGCAUUUGAAACUGUUAUUCUAGAGUAUGGGAGAGGUAGGUGGAAUUCUUGGUGUAGGGGUAAAAUCCGUAGAGAUCAAGAGGAAUACUCAUUGCGAAGGCGACCUGCUAGAACAUAACUGACGCUGAUGCGCGAAAGCGUGGGGAGCAAACAGGAUUAGAUACCCCUGUAGUC